AGUUUAUUUCUAGGCUGAGUACAUGGCUAUACUUGGAUCUCCCUUUGCCUUUAUCUCUGGGAUUUCCUUUGCUCUUUCUUGGAUUGACGUUCUCAUUUCCCAGACUCCAUGUCUUCCUCUUUCUUGCUUUGCCUCAUAAUUUUGGACUUACCUAGUAGCUUCUUCUUCUUUUUUUUUUUUUUCCUUUUUCACAUCAGAUGGGAAAUGUGCCAACGUCACAACAAGGUUUGAGGGAGGCACAUCUCAUGCUCGGACAUGAACACCCGAUCAUCAUGCUUAUGAACUACAAAAGGAUCUCCAGUAUGGGCUCACGGCAGUUGGCCCUUGAAUAACAUGAAUUUGAACUGCCUGAGUCUGCUAAUAUGUGGAUUAUCUUCUGCUUCUGCACCCUGAGACAGCAAGACCAACCCUUCCUCUUGCUUCUUUUCCUUAGCCUAUUCAACGUGAAGAUGACUAAGUUCACAGAGUUUGAGAGAAACUGUAUUCAAGUUGCUGAAACCAAGAAGCUACACUCACGAGUCUCACCUAAACUCGAAUCUGAUUUAGAUGACAUCAUCCUGGACUUUGAGUUGAUGAAACCUUGGAGGUCUUGGGAGUAAAGCAAGUGUGAUUUGCAUAUGAUGGAUAUGAAUUGUAAUGGCCAGAGCAUGGCUGUGGUAGGUAACAUCUAGAGAUGGCCACCAUUAUUUUUUUUUUCCUCUAUCCGCACAUACUACUUCUCCUGUACUCUUGAAACUGGGAUGAAAUUAGCAACUUUGUUAACCAAUAUAAUGUGCCACAGAAGUGACUUUUGCGACUUGUGAGGUUAGAUCUUAAGAAGUCUUGUAUCUUCUUUCUGGAUCACUUGGAAUGCUUACUACGGGAACCAAGCCACUGUUCUAUGAGAAGUGCAAGUCACAUGGAGAAACCAUGUUUUGGCAAGCUAGUCUGCAUCUUCAGGUGAGCUGCCAGCCAAUAACCAGCCUUAAUUUCCAGUUAAGUGAAUGGCUGGAUGUCUAACUCAGUUAAGACUUCUGAUUAUUGCAGCCUCAGGUUACCCCUGACUGCAACUGCACAAGUGGUCCAGAUGAGAUCAAUCUCACAACUAUGGGAGACAAUAAUGCUAUUUUGUGUUAAUCACUAAGUAUUAGUUUGUUACACAAAACAGAUAUUAAGAUUAAGAUAUUUAUGUCUCCAGAUAAUAGACCCAGGAGCUUCCUUAUGUCUAUUCCCCUUUAAAGUCCUUUUUUUUUUUUAAACUCACAGCUGGAAUAAUUAUGCCAGAGCAAGGCAACUUGGGUAGCAGCAUUUGGCUUCUGAUGAUUCUUUCCUUAGUGGAUGCAGGAUGCUGUCAUCUUAGGAACUUGAAAAAGAAAGCAUACUGUUUCUUGAACUUUAAUUAGUCAUGCUAAUUGUAAUAAAAUUUUUGCUGGAAUAAAAAAAGGGCAGCGUGUCUGAAGUAAGCAAAAAAAAAAAAAAAAAAAAACCCAUGUAUGCACAGUAGUUGUAGUGAUCUGCCCCAGUUAGUUGUAACCAUUAAAUAACUGCUAGGAAAAAUACAUGGCCUUGGAAAGUGUUUCCUUGGCAGUAGUGGAAGGGCAGGAACAGAUUUGUAUAAACACAUUUUUGUUACAAGCUAGAGGCAACUUUAGAGUUUGAUGGAUAAGAAUGACAUUAGAUAAAGCAUAUUGUAUUGUACUGGGAAUAGCUCAUUAACAAGCAGUUAACUUUGUGCGUGUUUACACUCAUAUUUGUCAUGUUCACUGCUGUAUCCUCAGCAGCUAAAACAGUAACUGGCACUUUAGAGAGACACAAUAAUUAUACGACGAAUUAAUAAAUUCCAUUUGUUUUGUUUAACGAAGUCUUUUGAUUUAAUAUUCAGCUGUACUUAGAUCUAUGGGUCUGAAAUAACUCAAAUUUU
Molecule: long non-coding RNA, 1900 nt
Filed under: Homo sapiens (human)
Lineage: Eukaryota; Metazoa; Chordata; Mammalia; Primates; Hominidae
Description: HSALNT0349457
Source: RNAcentral